Long non-coding RNA from Struthio camelus australis, 888 nucleotides. Lineage: Eukaryota; Metazoa; Chordata; Aves; Struthioniformes; Struthionidae. The record is from Ensembl.
GCUUUAACUACAUGAUGAAAAGGUAGCAAGGUAACACCUCUUACUAGAGUAAAAGGUAUUGCUAGAAAAACUAAUAAAUUCUUAGGUAGCCAAGUCCUUCCUUAAGUCUGAAACAGGUAGAAGCUUUCAAGCUAAUUUGAGGCUGGGAAAAAGAGAUCUGAGUUUCAUUCAACCGUGCUAAUUGAGGGGAUAAUUUAAGAGGAAAGGUGUGCCUUUCCCCUGCUUAGGAGGGAGAAAGGUAUAUUUAGGUCUCAGUGUGUUUGACAUGAGGAAGAGCUGAAGUUUCUGAAGAGAGUGCUGCUUUUCCCCCAUCUUGUCUUUGUAAAAUGGUUACUCAUUGCUAAAUGAGGGGGUAAGGUUUCUAAACCAUGCCAACACUAAAGCAUAGUUGCGGGUGCUAUUUCAAAUAUGAAUUGAGGGAAAGUUUUAGGGUUUUUUCCUAUUGAGCCAAUUAUUGUUCUUCAAGCAACUGCUGAACAUCUGGUAAAGGGGCUAGAGGGCAAUGUGAAAUGAAAAAUGUCACCUAAGGUGAGCUUUGCUUCGAGAAGCGAUAAUGCUGGUUACUUAGGGAGUUCUGCUCUUUUGGCAGGAAUAGCUGGAGCUCGGAUGUCAUGAUAGACUGGCUGUCAAUGGAUUUUCAUGGCGAAGGCAGACCAGUACAGGGUACUGUGGAAAGUCGCCCUAAAGGAGCAAGAAAUGGACUCCAGGCAAUGUGGCCUGUAUUCAGAGAAGAGCCCAAACAGCAGCACAAGUGCUGCUGGGAUAUUUCCACUGACAAUAAUGCUUUUCCCCAGAGGAGACAAUCUACCGGAAAUGCACAAGAUCUUUCUGUACCUGCUCAUUAAGGAUGAAGGGAGUGCCUUGGUGGCAGUGGCAAAUGUCUUAUAG